RNAcentral lists this ribosomal RNA (253 nucleotides) under uncultured bacterium. RNAcentral's name for it is "partial 16S ribosomal RNA". It matches the Rfam family "Bacterial small subunit ribosomal RNA", at positions 524 to 776 of the family's 1533-position model. The record is from RNAcentral.
UACGUAGGGGUCGAGCGUUGUCCGGAGUUACUGGGCGUAAAGCGUGCGCAGGCGGCUCAUCGCGCUCGGCGUGAAAGCCCCCGGCUCAACCGGGGAGGGUCGUCGAGGACGGGUGAGCUUGAGGGUAUCAGGGGUUGGUGGAAUUCCCGGUGUAGUGGUGAAAUGCGUAGAUAUGCGGAGGAACACCGAUGGCGAGGGCAAUCCCCUGGACCUGUACUGACGCUCAUGCACGAAAGCGUGGGGAGCAAACAGG